GCCAGGCAUGGUGAUGCAUGCCUGUAAUCCCAGCUACUUGGGAGGCUGAGGCAGGAGAAUUGCUUGAACCCAGGAGGUGGAGGUUGUGGCGAGCUGAGAUUGUGCCACUGCACUCCAGCCUGGGCAACAGAGUGAGACUCUGUCUCAA
This 148-nucleotide non-coding RNA is filed under the name Homo sapiens (human). The record is from Rfam by way of RNAcentral. Lineage: Eukaryota; Metazoa; Chordata; Mammalia; Primates; Hominidae.